Molecule: transfer RNA, 82 nt
Organism: Pleurotus ostreatus PC15
Lineage: Eukaryota; Fungi; Basidiomycota; Agaricomycetes; Agaricales; Pleurotaceae
Rfam family: tRNA
About the family: Transfer RNA (tRNA) molecules are approximately 80 nucleotides in length. Their secondary structure includes four short double-helical elements and three loops (D, anti-codon, and T loops). Further hydrogen bonds mediate the characteristic L-shaped molecular structure. tRNAs have two regions of fundamental functional importance: the anti-codon, which is responsible for specific mRNA codon recognition, and the 3' end, to which the tRNAs corresponding amino acid is attached (by aminoacyl-tRNA synthetases). tRNAs cope with the degeneracy of the genetic code in two manners: having more than one tRNA (with a specific anti-codon) for a particular amino acid; and 'wobble' base-pairing, i.e. permitting non-standard base-pairing at the 3rd anti-codon position.
Source: Rfam
GGCCGCCUGGCGAAAUGGCAUCGCGUCUGACUACGAUUCAUGCGUUAUCAGGAGAUUGCAGGUUCGACCCCUGCGGUGGUCA